Molecule: long non-coding RNA, 298 nt
Organism: Centruroides sculpturatus (bark scorpion)
Lineage: Eukaryota; Metazoa; Arthropoda; Arachnida; Scorpiones; Buthidae
Exons: 3
Source: RefSeq, a predicted model, not a curated record
UUUAGCAACACAAUCUUUUAAAUUAGUAUAUACUUCAUUCUAUUUCUGAAACAUGUUGGCAAAUGAACACGACUUCGAAUUGUCAGGUGUAAAUAAUUAAUGGAAUAGAAGAUCGACAAUUUCAUGAAGAGAUUUGGAAAGAAUCCCAUUGGAAUAUCCGUUGGAGGAUUCUUUUAUAUUAAGAGAAAUUUCGUCAUAAGAGUAAUUAGCGGCUUAUACUCCACAUUAUCUUCGUUUAUUCAAAUUAGUGGUGUAUUGGAACGUGAAAACAAAUGUAUUGUUACGCACAGAAACCACA